ACAGUCAAUUGUAAUCCAAGAUUACAGCAAACAAGAUGUUAAUUUCUAGACAUAAUCUAUGUACAUUUCAAUUACAGAGCAUGAUUGUUAUAGAAGCACAGAAUAAAAAAGAAUAACAUUUGUGCUAUCCUCACAGGAGCUGUCAAUAAAAGAUGUAAUAGGGGAUUUAGAAAUCUGGAAAUGGCCAACUAAUUUAUGUGAAUCUAUUUUAUUUCAGCUAGAAAGACCAAGCUCUUUUUCG
This 241-nucleotide long non-coding RNA is filed under the name Homo sapiens (human). RNAcentral describes it as "HSALNT0173669". The record is from RNAcentral. Lineage: Eukaryota; Metazoa; Chordata; Mammalia; Primates; Hominidae.